This 503-nucleotide ribosomal RNA is filed under the name Brucellaceae bacterium D180b. RNAcentral's name for it is "bacterial SSU rRNA". It matches the Rfam family "Bacterial small subunit ribosomal RNA", at positions 32 to 583 of the family's 1533-position model. Lineage: Bacteria; Pseudomonadati; Pseudomonadota; Alphaproteobacteria; Hyphomicrobiales; Brucellaceae. The record is from RNAcentral.
AACGCUGGCGGCAGGCUUAACACAUGCAAGUCGAGCGCCCCGCAAGGGGAGCGGCAGACGGGUGAGUAACGCGUGGGAACGUACCUUUUGCUACGGAAUAACUCAGGGAAACUUGUGCUAAUACCGUAUGUGCCCUUCGGGGGAAAGAUUUAUCGGCAAAGGAUCGGCCCGCGUUGGAUUAGCUAGUUGGUGAGGUAAAGGCUCACCAAGGCGACGAUCCAUAGCUGGUCUGAGAGGAUGAUCAGCCACACUGGGACUGAGACACGGCCCAGACUCCUACGGGAGGCAGCAGUGGGGAAUAUUGGACAAUGGGCGCAAGCCUGAUCCAGCCAUGCCGCGUGAGUGAUGAAGGCCCUAGGGUUGUAAAGCUCUUUCACCGGUGAAGAUAAUGACGGUAACCGGAGAAGAAGCCCCGGCUAACUUCGUGCCAGCAGCCGCGGUAAUACGAAGGGGGCUAGCGUUGUUCGGAUUUACUGGGCGUAAAGCGCACGUAGGCGGACUUU